Molecule: long non-coding RNA, 524 nt
Organism: Cydia splendana
Lineage: Eukaryota; Metazoa; Arthropoda; Insecta; Lepidoptera; Tortricidae
Exons: 2
Source: RefSeq, a predicted model, not a curated record
AACUUAGUUUAUCACAAUUUCGUGAUAAAAUAACUCUAUAUAGUGUAAUAUUUGAAGAGUGCGUUGUUAAUUGCAUAUAAUUUUGACCUAAAGUUUAACAAUUUCAGACAGCCGUCGUCCCCGCAGCCCCAACCAAGGCGGCGACGCAGCCAGAGCGGGCAAGAGCGGCUCCGCGGGCUCUUCUUCCACGCUGAGAAGUCCUCGCCAAGUUGGCACGUACAGUCAGAGCUGCCGCUGCAAUGACGCCUUCAUGGCAGUUACCAGUGCUAAGGACGUGCACUGCUGGCUUACUUGACCAGAAGAGACAAUACUUUAAGCGUUAGUAUUGAUUCAAACCGUGAAGUGAAAUUGUGGACAGGUUUGCCCGAAUCAGUGUAACCUCAGUGAAUUCAUUUACUUCAUAGACUUCAAACAUUUUCGAAAUUAACAAAAGUCAAGCGGACAUUGAAUACAUAGAUAAGAUGCAUUAGAUAAGAUAAAAGCUGCCUGUGAAACCAAAACUAAUAAAUCAUAUUGUUACUUAA